RNAcentral lists this ribosomal RNA (109 nucleotides) under Escherichia coli. RNAcentral's name for it is "partial 16S ribosomal RNA". It matches the Rfam family "Bacterial small subunit ribosomal RNA", at positions 1 to 100 of the family's 1533-position model. Lineage: Bacteria; Pseudomonadati; Pseudomonadota; Gammaproteobacteria; Enterobacterales; Enterobacteriaceae. RNAcentral also lists the same sequence under 19 other names. The record is from RNAcentral.
UUAAAUUGAAGAGUUUGAUCAUGGCUCAGAUUGAACGCUGGCGGCAGGCCUAACACAUGCAAGUCGAACGGUAACAGGAAGCAGCUUGCUGCUUUGCUGACGAGUGGCG